This 238-nucleotide ribosomal RNA is filed under the name uncultured bacterium. RNAcentral's name for it is "partial 16S ribosomal RNA". It matches the Rfam family "Bacterial small subunit ribosomal RNA", at positions 92 to 334 of the family's 1533-position model. The record is from RNAcentral.
CGACCGGCGCACGGUGAGUAACGCGUAUGCAACUUACCUAUCAGAGGGGGAUAGCCCGGCGAAAGUCGGAUUAAUACCCAUAAACAGGGUCCCGCAUGGGAAUAUUUGUUAAAGAUUCAUCGCUGAUAGAUAGGCAUGCGUUUCAUUAGGCAGUUGGCGGGGUAACGGCCCACCAAACCGACGAUGGAUAGGGGUUCUGAGAGGAAGGUCCCCACAUUGGUACUGAGACACGGACCAA